ACGUGCAGAAAGAAAAGAGUAAGCAAGCUGGGUUUGGGAGAUUUGCAAGCUUUAUUGCAAAGAGUGCCGGGUGAGAAGGAUCCUAGGGAGGAGGUCCGGGAAGGGAGGUAGUGUGACCCUGAGGAGGGGGUGAAGGGCUGGGAGGAGCACUUGGAGUUUCUUAGAAAUAGAACAAGGAGCUGCAGGAGGGUGCUGGCUGAGGACAUUUGUAGCUAAAUGCGAUGUCACAUGAGCUCUUUCGCCUCCAUCGCGUGGCGGCAGCUGCGGUGGCCGCGGUUCAGUAGCGCAUGUGCAGUGCGUGGUCUACGCCUGGGAGCGGCACACCCUUGAGGUGACUGGCAGGAGAUGACUGGCCCUUGGGCAGAAGAUCAGGUAGCGUGGCAUCGCUCCAGAAGCUCAAGCCGUUCUCCUGGUUGGCCCUAGAGGUUGAGACAGCCUGGGAUGGGGUGGAGCCUCUGACACCCCGGAAGCAGCAGACCGCGUGCUUGGAGGUCAAGGUCGUGGUUCCCUGACCUGGGCUGAGAGAGCAGACAUCAGCUCACGGGGUGGCCAAACGGGAGAAGACCUGCCUGGCCAAAGAGCCCCGACUGCUAACACUUCCUGUACUGAAACCUCAAACAACGUGCCUGCUCCUCAGUCACUGCAAGCAGCAACGUCCAUUGGAGAAGGAAAAAUAAAAGAUUCAUCAGGGUCUGCAUCUGAUUCUGUGUAAAUCUGAGGUGAGGGCUCCUUUGCUGGUCUACAUGAAUAUACCUAUAUUUUGCAUGACUGAUUUUAUGCUCAGCCUUACAAAUUCCACCUGAAUCUGCCCACACCCUCUUCUUCU
This 826-nucleotide long non-coding RNA is filed under the name Capra hircus (goat). Its description in RNAcentral is "lncRNA (ENSCHIG00010012263.1)". The record is from RNAcentral. Lineage: Eukaryota; Metazoa; Chordata; Mammalia; Artiodactyla; Bovidae.